CCCUUAGAUGUUCUGGCCGCACGCGCGUUACAAUGAAUCGUUCAACAGGUUUUCUUCCUGAGUCGAAAGGCUUGGGUAAUCCUUUAAAUACGGUUCGUGCUAGGGAUAGAUUUUUGCAAUUAUUAAUCUUGAACGAGGAAUAUUUAGUAAACGCAGGUCAUCAGCCUGCAUUGAUUACGUCCCUGCCCUUUGUACACACCGCCCGUCGCACCAACCGAUUGGAUGUUUUGUUGAAAUAUGUGGAUGUUUUUUGAGUGGAUUAAUUUUCGCUCGAUAGACAGAAACGUAUUAAAACUGAAUAUAUAGAGGAUGGUGAAGUCGUAACA
This 326-nucleotide ribosomal RNA is filed under the name uncultured eukaryote. RNAcentral's name for it is "partial 18S ribosomal RNA". It matches the Rfam family "Eukaryotic small subunit ribosomal RNA", at positions 1470 to 1796 of the family's 1831-position model. The record is from RNAcentral.